UACGUAGGUGGCAAGCGUUGUCCGGAUUUACUGGGCGUAAAGGAUGCGUAGGCGGACAUUUAAGUCAGAUGUGAAAUACCCGAGCUUAACUUGGGUGCUGCAUUUGAAACUGGGUGUCUAGAGUGCAGGAGAGGUAAGUGGAAUUCCUAGUGUAGCGGUGAAAUGCGUAGAGAUUAGGAAGAACACCGGUGGCGAAGGCGGCUCUCUGGACCGAUACUGACGCUGAGGCGCGAAAGCGUGGGGAGCAAACAGG
RNAcentral lists this ribosomal RNA (253 nucleotides) under uncultured bacterium. RNAcentral describes it as "partial 16S ribosomal RNA". It matches the Rfam family "Bacterial small subunit ribosomal RNA", at positions 524 to 776 of the family's 1533-position model. The record is from RNAcentral.